Molecule: long non-coding RNA, 1336 nt
Filed under: Rattus norvegicus (Norway rat)
Lineage: Eukaryota; Metazoa; Chordata; Mammalia; Rodentia; Muridae
Description: long non-coding RNA NONRATT015531
Source: RNAcentral
ACCACCUGCCCCAGGAGUUCACAGACUCCGAGAUCCUCCAGAUGUUUGUCCCUUUUGGUCAUGUCAUCUCAGCCAAAGUCUUUGUUGACCGGGCCACCAAUCAGAGCAAAUGUUUUGGCUUUGUGAGUUUCGACAAUCCGGCCAGUGCCCAGGCUGCCAUCCAGGCUAUGAACGGUUUCCAGAUUGGCAUGAAGCGCCUCAAAGUCCAGCUAAAGCGGCCUAAGGAUGCAAACAGACCCUACUAAGGGCUUCAGGUCUGGAGAUACCAGAGGAAGGGGCACUUCGUACCCUCUUCCUAUGACUGGCCCUGGCCUUCUCUGCACAUCUGCCCUGGGCCUUGAUUGGACUUGGGGCAAAAGCUGCUUCAUGGCCCAAAGGGCCUAGGACCUGGCUCAUUCCCACCAUCUUGCCUCUCUGGAGGGCCAGUUUUGCCUCCCUGCCUCCAAGAGCCUAUUUCCUCCCCGGUGCCCUUUUGGCCUUUUGUGAGGAAGUGAGGAAUAGGCUUGAAGGUUCAGGGGCAUCUGCCUUCUGCUAAGGCUCCUGAGAUGAGCUCUGUAACCACUGUUCACACUUGCCUCCCCUCAGUGGGCCUGAAGUAGCUGUGGAGGCCCAGGAGGACAGCAGGGCAUUCUCUUUCCCAAGCGCCCUCACCUAGCCUCUCCUCCACGGCUCGGCCUUCUCAGAAGCUGGCUCCCACAUUCCCCUCCACCCUCACCUAGAGGUAGGAUAUCUCCAAAUCCCGGGCUCCCAGCCCUAAAACUCACUGCCUUCCCCAAGGGCCCCCUCCAAGGAGGAUGUGGGGGCCCUGAGGGCUGCCUCUCUGCCAGUCAGUCACAGAGACCCUUUUUUCAUGAGGAAAAGACCUUCCCCUGAAUCCCUAAAAAUGUUUACAGUCUCUGCUGGCCCUCCAUGUAAAUACCAUGAGCACCAGGGCAUUAACUAGCCCACCCAGCCAGACGCUGCCAUCUCUCUUUCUGAGAGUUUAGACAAUGUUACCCUUGGAUUCUUUUUUUUUUUUUUUCCCUCUCUUGAUUUUUCUCCCUUUGCUUUGGGGGUAAUUGGGUAUUUUGGGGGAAGGGUACCGGGAGGGCUAAAGGGGUUUAUUACCUGAUCAUUUUCUUUAGGAAGAGGUUUUAGAGAGAAGAACAUGGGGUGGGAGUGGGAGGUGAAGGGCGAGAAGGGGAAAUCAAUCUCUGACACUUCUCUACACUUAACUUAUUUACUGAGUUUUACUUUUAAAGAGUUGGCCUUUUCUGUCUAAAUAAAGAAAAACAUUUGAAAGCAUCAACUAUGAGUUGUGGAAGGCUGAGAGUAGGGUGCUCACACUGGGAAGGGG